UCCGUAGGUGAACCUGCGGAAGGAUCAUAUAACGAAAUCCAAUAACCACGCAAACAUGCCAUUUUAAGCAAGGCCUCAUAUAGUAUUUUGCUAUAUGGAGCCUUCGCAUACAAUGAUUGCUUAUAAAGGCCCUUAACUAAAACUAAAUAAUCAAGAAUAAAGUCUUAACGAUGGAUAUCUUGGUUCCCAUAACGAUGAAGAACGCAGCAAAGUGCGAUAAGCAAUGCGAAUUGCAGAAUUCCGUGAGUCAUCAGAUCUUUGAACGCAAAUUGCGCCGACUCUGUCGGCAUGCUUGUUUCAGUGUCAUUUAAAAUCUGCUCCACACCUUAAUGCGACUGAUUUACCAAUCUGUUGCUAAGUGCGAGUGGCGUAUACUAGUCACGGAGCUUUGCUCUCUCAAUGCAGCAGUCACACCUAGUGUGUCCUCGUUGAGAGUUGACUAGCAAUAUACCACAGAUUAUAAGCUCUCUUUUGCAUCUGAAAUCAAGUAAGGCCACCCGCUGAACUUAAGCAUAUCAAUAAGCGGAGGGAAGUCGGACUGGCCAAGGGGCACACCAGGGGGGGGGGAUA
Molecule: ribosomal RNA, 570 nt
Filed under: uncultured fungus
Lineage: Eukaryota; Fungi
Description: eukaryotic LSU rRNA
Rfam family: 5.8S ribosomal RNA (bases 160-306)
Source: RNAcentral